Molecule: long non-coding RNA, 448 nt
Organism: Gossypium arboreum
Lineage: Eukaryota; Viridiplantae; Streptophyta; Magnoliopsida; Malvales; Malvaceae
Exons: 2
Source: RefSeq, a predicted model, not a curated record
UCACCUUUGUUAUUUAAGUUAAAUUUUUUUGUUUUUUUUUUUGUAUUUCUGCUUCCUUCUCUGAAAAAAAAAAAACACCCCCUUUUCCAUUUGCCUUCUCUGCUAGGGUUUAUAAAACUCAUCAUCGCCACCGUCGUCAUGCCUCCUUGAAGCCACCCAUGAUUUCCACCGUAGACGGUGGUUGGGGCCACGUGAAAUCGGGUGUCAGACGCAUGGAAGGCCGGUGGUUGGUGCCCCGAGCGGUGGUGGUGGAGCGCGUGAUAGCCAAGGCUGAGGGGGAGUGGCGGCUGAAAACUUUGGUGGCUAGGGUUUGCUGCUGAAAUUUUGUUAAGAUAGUGGACUUGGGCUGUUAGGGUUUGUAAAUUGGGUUUGGGUAUUGUAUUAUUGGGCUGAUUUGGUUUGUAAAAUGGACUUUUAUUUAGUUAUUUAAAUUUUAUUUUUUUGUUUA